ACGGGUGCGUAACGCGUGGGAAUCUGCCCUUGGGUUCGGGAUAACAGUUGGAAACGACUGCUAAUACCGGAUGAUGACUUCGGUCCAAAGAUUUAUCGCCCAGGGAUGAGCCCGCGUAGGAUUAGCUAGUUGGUGAGGUAAAGGCUCACCAAGGCGACGAUCCUUAGCUGGUCUGAGAGGAUGAUCAGCCACACUGGGACUGAGACACGGCCCAGACUCCUACGGGAGGCAGCAGUGGGGAAUAUUGGACAAUGGGCGAAAGCCUGAUCCAGCAAUGCCGCGUGAGUGAUGAAGGCCUUAGGGUUGUAAAGCUCUUUUACCCGGGAUGAUAAUGACAGUACCGGGAGGAUAAGCCCCGGCUAACUCCGUGCCAGCAGCCGCGGUAAUACGGAGGGGGCUAGCGUUGUUCGGAAUUACUGGGCGUAAAGCGCGCGUAGGCGGCUUUGUAAGUUAGAGGUGAAAGCCCGGAGCUCAACUCCGGAACUGCCUUUAAGACUGCAUCGCUAGAAUCAUGGAGAGGUGAGUGGAAUUCCGAGUGUAGAGGUGAAAUUCGUAGA
This 557-nucleotide ribosomal RNA is filed under the name uncultured bacterium. Its description in RNAcentral is "bacterial SSU rRNA". It matches the Rfam family "Bacterial small subunit ribosomal RNA", at positions 102 to 694 of the family's 1533-position model. The record is from RNAcentral.